UCAUUGUGGUUCUGUAUUCUCCUAUCCAACACAGGUGAAAUCCAGAAGGCUAACAUUUAUAAAACUGGGCCUAGAAGACCCAGUAUUACCUGUGAAGCAAUGCAUGUCUCUGACAGACCCUGGGAUCGAACCUGUCUAUAGACUCCCACGCUAGAACGUUCCGCUGAAAGUUAAAACAUGUUGACAGCGCUCUUGUCAACCUCUCUGGAUGGGGAAAUGAAAGAGGAACAGUUUGGCUCAUAGGCAUGAACAUAUACUGGGCUGAGAUUGUCCCCUCCCACUUCCCUGUAAAGACCCAUCUCUAGUAGCCAUAGUGACCCUGAGUUAGGUAUAGGAGUUCUAGCCAAGAGGAAACAGGAAUGCAGAACAUAAACUGUGUCAGGUCAGGUUAACUAAGUCAGGCUUAAGGUUAAUGUUAAUUCAAAUUGAAAUUAGUCAGACUUAAAGGUGUGUGUUGAAAUCGAGGGAGAGUUGGGUCUCCUUAGUCUUGAGGAGAUCUCUUUUAGAGUAGGAGGUGUAGCCUAGAAAACCCCUCUAAAAAGACAGGUGGAAAUAAGGGUGGGGGGGGGCUAGAGAGGAGGAGGUCAGGGUCCCAGGAAGGGAGAGAAAGGGGGAGGGAAGAGAGGAGGAGGUCAGGGUCCCAGGAAGGGACAGAGAGGGGGAGGGAGGAGAGGAGGAGGUCAGGGUCCCAGGAAGGGAGAGAGAGGGAAGAGAGGAGGAGGUCAGGGUCCCAGGAAGGGAGAGAGAGGGAAGAGAGGAGGAGGUCAGGGUCCCAGGAUGAGACAGAGAGGGACAUUUAAUUUCACUAAAACAUUUGUCAACAUUCUCAUCUUAGUAAAUGAACAUCGCUCUUACAUAAAGAGCUUACAGUUUUCCACAACAAUAUCACCACUACAAUCACCUUCAUUACAAUCUCUUAACAGUAAAACCUCCUUUGGUCAACACUGUACUGGUAUAAAGUAGUGUACUAUAUAGGGAAUAGGGUGUCAUCUCUCCAUAGGGUCCUGGUCUAAAGUAGUGUACUAUAUAGGGAAUAGGGUGUCAUCUCUCCAUAGGGUCCUGGUCUAAAGUAGUGUACUAUAUAGGGAAUAGGGUGUCAUCUCUCCAUAGGGUCCUGGUAUAAAGUAGUGUACUAUAUAGGGAAUAGGGUGUCAUCUCUCCAUAGGGUCCUGGUCUAAAGUAGUGUACUAUAUAGGGAAUAGGGUGUCAUCUCUCCAUAGGGGCCUGGUAUAAAGUAGUGUACUAUAUAGGGAAUAGAGUGUCAUCUCUCCAUAGGGUCCUGGUAUAAAGUAGUGUACUAUAUAGGGAAUAGGGUGUCAUCUCUCCAUAUAGUCCUGGUAUAAAGUAGUGUACUAUAUAGGGAAUAGGGUGUUAUCUGUUGGUUGACAUUAACUUAAUAGAAUCUAGCAGAAACCAUCAUGUUGUUAGGUCGUCAUGUUCUGACCGUCAUGUUGUUAGGUCGUCAUGUUCUGACCGUCAUGUUGUUAGGUCGUCAUGUUCUGACCGUCAUGUUGUUAGGUCGUCAUGUUCUGACCGUCAUGUUGUUAGGUCAUCAUGUUCUGACCGUCAUGUUGUUAGGUCGUCAUGUUCUGACCGUCAUGUUGUUAGGUCGUCAUGUUCUGACCGUCAUGUUUUUAUGUCGUCAUGUUCUGACCAUCAUGUUUUUAUGUCGUCAUGUUCUGACCGUCAUGUUGUUAGGUCAUCAUGUUCUGACCAUCAUGUUGUUAGGUCAUCAUGUUCUGAC
This is a long non-coding RNA of Esox lucius (northern pike), 1744 nucleotides long. Lineage: Eukaryota; Metazoa; Chordata; Actinopteri; Esociformes; Esocidae. The record is from Ensembl.